RNAcentral lists this ribosomal RNA (431 nucleotides) under uncultured bacterium. RNAcentral's name for it is "bacterial SSU rRNA". It matches the Rfam family "Bacterial small subunit ribosomal RNA", at positions 29 to 507 of the family's 1533-position model. The record is from RNAcentral.
AACGAACGCUGGCGGCAGGCCUAACACAUGCAAGUCGAGCGCCCCGCAAGGGGAGCGGCGGACGGGUGAGUAACGCGUGGGAACGUGCCCCUUUCUACGGAAUAGCCUCGGGAAACUGGGAGUAAUACCGUAUAAGCCCUACGGGGGAAAGAUUUAUCGGGAAGGGAUCGGCCCGCGUUGGAUUAGGUAGUUGGUGGGGUAAUGGCCUACCAAGCCGACGAUCCAUAGCUGGUUUGAGAGGAUGAUCAGCCACACUGGGACUGAGACACGGCCCAGACUCCUACGGGAGGCAGCAGUGGGGAAUCUUAGACAAUGGGCGCAAGCCUGAUCUAGCCAUGCCGCGUGAGCGAUGAAGGCCUUAGGGUUGUAAAGCUCUUUCAGUGGGGAAGAUAAUGACGGUACCCAGUAAAGAAACCCCGGCUAACUCCGUG